RNAcentral lists this ribosomal RNA (247 nucleotides) under uncultured bacterium. Its description in RNAcentral is "partial 16S ribosomal RNA". It matches the Rfam family "Bacterial small subunit ribosomal RNA", at positions 86 to 334 of the family's 1533-position model. The record is from RNAcentral.
AGAUGGCGACCGGCGCACGGGUGAGUAACACGUAUCCAACCUGCCGAUAACUCGGGGAUAGCCUUUCGAAAGAAAGAUUAAUACCCGAUGGUAUAAUCAGACCGCAUGGUUUGGUUAUUAAAGAAUUUCGGUUAUCGAUGGGGAUGCGUUCCAUUAGGCAGUUGGUGAGGUAACGGCUCACCAAACCUUCGAUGGAUAGGGGUUCUGAGAGGAAGGUCCCCCACAUUGGAACUGAGACACGGUCCAA